AAGAUUUUGAGAUAUUUUCGGAGACACUAACUAAGAUUUUUUAGGACUUUGCGUAAUUUUCUGAUUUCAGUUGUUGCUUAAUGACAUUUAAAGUUUUGUAACAGCUUUAUUGUCAAGUGGCAUGCCGGUAGAGUCAACGUUGUUGUCACUCAUGACUUUACGGAUAUAGAUGAGUCUUGCCUGAUCAAAUGAGCACUGAAGCUGUUUCAUCAAUCCACGAAUUUGUGAAGUAGCGGCUUCGUCCAGGCCGGCCCGAGUGUCCUGAGCUAGAAUAUUUUGGGCGAUAUCAAAUGAACUGGAGUUAAGCCCAUUGUUGAAAUCUGCUUCAAAAGAAUUUUCAACAGGUGAAUAUCUGAUACUUCGAUAGCGAGAUAUCCAAAAUCUUCUAGCAGCAAAUGUAAUGGCGAUAAUUAUAGCCAAAACAACAGUGACAUAAGAAACGAUUAUAUGAAAACUUG
Non-coding RNA from Schizosaccharomyces pombe (fission yeast), 458 nucleotides. The record is from the annotation of a GenBank genome assembly. Lineage: Eukaryota; Fungi; Ascomycota; Schizosaccharomycetes; Schizosaccharomycetales; Schizosaccharomycetaceae.